RNAcentral lists this long non-coding RNA (755 nucleotides) under Vitis vinifera (wine grape). RNAcentral describes it as "long non-coding RNA (VVIN_LNC007952)". The record is from RNAcentral. Lineage: Eukaryota; Viridiplantae; Streptophyta; Magnoliopsida; Vitales; Vitaceae.
UUUUGCACAUAUUUUGUUUAGGUUUCUUAGUUUUGAUUUUGAUUUUUUUAAUGUUUUUAAUGGAGCUUUGAUGUCCAAUAGCAGGUACGAAAGCUCACAAGCUCACAAAUGUGGAAAGAAAGGUGAAAUAGGGGAGAAAUAUACCUAAGUCCAAGCUUAAAAGUCCAUUUCGCAACUCAAAAAGUGAGUUGCGAAAUGCACAUUUUGGCAAGAUGCAAAAUGCAACCUCUCGGGAUUGCACUUUCGCAAGGAGUAACCAGUGCGAAAAUUUUCGCAAGUCAUUUUUCACCUUGCGAAAUUGUUUUCAAAGCAAAUAUCAAAAUGCAACCUCUCGGGAUUGGUUUUUAAGGGGAGUAGCCAGUGCGAAAAUUUGGCAAGGUGAAUUUUCACCUUGCGAAAUUUCCAGCACUCCGCCAUGCUCUCUCAAAUCCACCAUCACCUGAGCAUAUCACCUCCUCCACCUCAGGAGCCACAUCCAUAAUUGGAUAUUUCUAUCUCCAUUUUGUAUAUGUUUUUUGUAGAUGUACAUGUUUUAUAUUCUGAGAUUGUAUGUACCUCAUGAUUCUAUCUUGUACUCAACUCUCUCAGUUUAUAUAAGCAUCAUUUUUUGUAUCUUAUUUCCUCUCUCACGUUUCUUAUGGUUUUUGAAUCAUGUGGAUGCACUCACACGCCUUGAAUACCACAUCACCAUAAGGUAUAUCAUUCCUUCCUCAUCUUUUUCGAUAGAAACAUUGGGGACAAUGUUCAUCUCGGUU